Marmota monax (woodchuck) is the source of this 2099-nucleotide long non-coding RNA. RefSeq lists it as uncharacterized. The transcript is spliced from 4 exons. Lineage: Eukaryota; Metazoa; Chordata; Mammalia; Rodentia; Sciuridae. The record is from RefSeq and is a predicted model, not a curated record.
CAGCAAACAAAACAUACACCAUUCUGUUCACAUGGAGUUCACAUUCUGGUGCAAGUAUAGGCAAAAAUAAGAAAUGACAAUGCAUCUUGGGCGUGAAAGGAGGGAACCCAUAGAACUACGGGAAACACAGAAGAUCAUGCACCCUCCUCUAGCCUGGGCAGUCAGGAAGACCCGGAGGAGGUGAUGUUUUAACUGAAGUGGGAAAGAUGAGCUGAAAUUACCCAGGUGGAGGUGGAAGUGAAGGUGCAUGUCCUGAAAAGAGAACAGUGUCAACAGUGACCUUGGGACAAGGAAAGGCUUGCAUAGAAUUUUGGCUUGGAAUUGGACUUCUCAAAGUUAUUGGCGGACACAACAUCUUUAUUUGUAUGUGGUGCUGAGGAUCAAACCCGGGCCGCAUGCAUGCCAGGCGAGCGCUACCGCUUGAGCCACAUCCCCAGCCCUCAAAGGCUGGCAAUGUGCACUAGGGGACCCUAGCCAUGGUGGGCAGCAGCAGUGAGUCACAGCUCCCCAUCAGCCACGGGGCUGUGAAGGUAACGAGCCAAUCCUGCAGGAGUAGUCUGUGUUGCUUCGCUCUGCUGUUCAGUAUAUCAGGUGUGAUACAUUUUUUACUUAAAAUAUUUUCAAAUCAUGAUGGGCUUGUCAGGAUGUAAUCCCAUAAAUCAAGGAGCAUGUGUAUUUGAGUGCUCUUUCAGCACCACUUUCCCUUCUUCCUUUGAGAAUUCCAAUAACACAAAUGCUGAUAUUUUGUUUUUGCCCCCAUAGUUCCCUGAGGCUCUAUCCCUUUUUCUUUUUCCUUUAGUUCCAAUUGGGUGAAUUCUGUUACUCCAUCCUUGAGUUCAUUAACUCUAUCCUCUGUCAUCUGCACUCUGUUAUUAAAGCUCAUUCAAUGAAUUUUUUAGUUCUGUUAGUUUUUUCUAUUGCUGCCAUAGACUUGUCGUAACAAGUCUGAACUUGUUAUCUUAAAACAACACAGACAGACUGUGUUACUCUUCCAUAGUUAAGAAUUCCAGCACAGGCUUCACAGGGCUAAUAUUAAACUGUCAGUAAUGCUACAUUCCCUCCUGAGAGCUCUGGGGGAGAAUCAGUUUCCUAACUGUUCAAGCUUCUAGAAGCUUCCCAUAGUCUUUGGCUCAUGGCCCCCUUCCUCCAUCUUCAAAGUCAACAAUGCUGUAUCUCUCUGAGCAUUCUUCCAUAGUCACUUCUCUCUCUGACGAAAGUUGAGAAAGAGUCUCUUCCUUUAAGGGCCUGUAUUAUUAGAUGGAUGAUGUGAAGAUACUCUAGGCCAAUCUCUUCAUCUCAAGGCCUUUUUUUCCAGCAAAGCAACAUAUUUACAGAGUCCAGGGAUUGGGAUGUAGACAUCUUUGAGGACCAUUAUUCUGCCCAACACAUAUCAUAUUUUUUAUUUCUAUAAUUUCCAUUUGAAAAUAUACUUUUUAUUAAUAUACUUUAUUUUUAAAGACAGUUUUAGGUUUAUAGAAAAACUGAGUGGCUAGUCCCGAGAGUUUCCCAUUCCAUCCUCACCCCCAUUUCCCCUAAUAUUAAUAUCUUACACCACAGUAACGCUUUUGUUACAGUUAAUGAGCCAACACCAAAUCAACCAGGUCCAUAGUUCACUCAUAUUUCCUUCAUCUGUUCCCCUCCUGGAUACAAGGGGGCUGCUCUACUCCAUGAGUGCACCCUGGGUAGAAAGAAGGCAGAAGAUGGAGAGGAGACUGAGCAGAAGACCAGCCAACCUGCCAUGUCUACUCUUUUUUUUUUUUUUUUUUUUCUCCUCUAGCAGGAAUACGAUGGCAUUCCAGAAGCCCCAGCCAGGGCACCUCUGCUUUUCUCUUAUUAACCUUUUACCCAACAACUUCUAGCAGCACAGGAGCCUGUGCAAGACUGAAGUGACCCAACAGUAGAGUCAUCUUGGGAUCCAUGUGCGAAACUGGCAGACUGGAAGGCAGACUGUGUCCCUGAGUGGGCAUGUGGAGCAGAGCACCCACCCACCCCUGCUGGAGCGUUCACCCUGGAAUGUUCCAUGGGAUAAACACACUCUCUGUUGUGAUCACGUGUUUGCGUGAUGGGCCUAUUUAUAAAAGUUGAUUAAUCCACCCUGA